RNAcentral lists this long non-coding RNA (291 nucleotides) under Musa acuminata (dwarf banana). RNAcentral's name for it is "long non-coding RNA (MACU_LNC004010)". The record is from RNAcentral. Lineage: Eukaryota; Viridiplantae; Streptophyta; Magnoliopsida; Zingiberales; Musaceae.
GUAGAAGUCUGACAAAUUUUUGAGAGCUGUCCAUCCACCUUCAUGUAUGAGUAGAUUGUGUCACAAUCUUGGGGCCCUUUUCUAGUAUUUCCAGAUCUGUGCAAUGUAGAACUUGAGCUCCCACCUUGUUGAAAUUUACUAAGGCUCCCCAGUAAGUCCUUUUUAAAAUCAUUAAGUACUUCUUGUAACCGGUUCUCAAUUCUAAUUUCCAAUGCUUCCAUUUGUGCUUUCACUGAGUUAUCGGUGGCCAUUUCGUAAGACUACAAAUCUGUAAUCUCAACUCCUAUUUUU